CACCGUGAGGUGGAAUCUGAAGGAAGCCGGAUGUGGGAACAGACUAACCACGGGCAAAUCUCUGGUCUGACGAACAGAAAUCUCAUAUAAGGUCAUUCAAUCGGAUAUGGAAAGAAAGAGACAGUGCACAGCCGAGACUUUUGGAAGCGAUACUGUAUAAAGACAACAUUAA
This 172-nucleotide non-coding RNA is filed under the name human gut metagenome. The record is from RNAcentral.